UGCAAGUCGAGCGCGCCCUUCGGGGCGAGCGGCGAACGGGUGAGUAACACGUGGGAACGUGCCCUUCUCCACGGAAUAGCCUUUGGAAACGAAGAGUAAUACCGUAUACGCCCUUCGGGGGAAAGAUUUAUCGGUGAAGGAUCGGCCCGCGCCCGAUUAGGUAGUUGGUGGGGUAAUGGCCCACCAAGCCGACGAUCGGUAGCUGGUUUUAGAGGACGAUCAGCCACACUGGGACUGAGACACGGCCCAGACUCCUGCGGGAGGCAGCAGUGGGGAAUCUUGGACAAUGGGGGAAACCCUGAUCCAGCCAUGCCGCGUGAGUGAAGAAGGCCCUAGGGUCGUAAAGCUCUUUCGCCAGGGAUGAUAAUGACAGUACCUGGUAAAGAAACCCCGGCUAACUCCGUGCCAGCAGCCGCGGUAAUACGGAGGGGGUUAGCGUUGUUCGGAAUUACUGGGCGUAAAGCGCACGUAGGCGGGCUGGAAAGUCGGGGGUGAAAUCCCGGGGCUCAACCCCGGAACUGCCUUCGAAACUCCCAGUCUGGAGUUCGGGAGAGGUGAGUGGAAUUCCGAGUGUAGAGGUGAAAUUCGUAGAUAUUCGGAAGAACACCAGUGGCGAAGGCGGCUCACUGGCCCGGUACUGACGCUGAGGUGCGAAAGUGUGGGGAGCAAACAGGAUUAGAUACCCUGGUAGUCCACACCGUAAACGAUGAAUGCCAGUCGUCGGGCAGCAUGCUGUUCGGUGACGCACCUAACGGAUUAAGCAUUCCGCCUGGGGAGUACGGUCGCAAGAUUAAAACUCAAA
This 802-nucleotide ribosomal RNA is filed under the name uncultured bacterium. Its description in RNAcentral is "bacterial SSU rRNA". It matches the Rfam family "Bacterial small subunit ribosomal RNA", at positions 56 to 905 of the family's 1533-position model. The record is from RNAcentral.